Molecule: long non-coding RNA, 644 nt
Organism: Mesocricetus auratus (golden hamster)
Lineage: Eukaryota; Metazoa; Chordata; Mammalia; Rodentia; Cricetidae
Exons: 2
Source: RefSeq, a predicted model, not a curated record
CUUAGCAAAGUGUCUUCUGAACACUGGCCCAGCACAUUCCUAGUUUUCAUUUCCUGUGCACCAGAAUGUGACACUUUCGAUGCUGUAUGGAAGAAGAUGGAUGCUGAACACAGAUUGUGAAAACUGGGACUGACACCACCUGUGCAUAUGCAUUCCUGAAAACACUCAGAGGACAACACCUGUCCCAAAUUGCUACCUGUUUAUUUAAAUUAGAAACAAGCUUGCUUCACAUGUCAAUCUGAGCUCCCUCUCCUACCUUUCCUCAUCCAACACCCACCAACCCUCCAUCUCCCACCCAAUUCCCACUCUGCUCCCAGGGAGGGUGAGGCCCUCCAUGGAAGAUCUCCAAAGUCUUUCCUAUCGUCGGGACAGGGCCUAGGCCCUCCCCCAUGUGUCCAGACUGACAGAGCAUCCCUCCAUGUGGAAUGGGUUCUCAAAGUUCAUUCGUAUGCAAGGGAUAAAUACGGAGAUCUACAAACUGCUGCCUUUUAAUCUCUCUUCGUGUUGGAUCAAAUGGACCCCAGACAAUCAGACCUGAGUCGAGUGUUCUUGUUUCAUCAGUCUGCUGCUUUAUCAUGUGGCCCAGAAAAAAAGGACCGCCUGAUCAUCUACUGAAAAAUCUAAUAAACAUGAGUCAUACUAAA